This 492-nucleotide ribosomal RNA is filed under the name uncultured bacterium. Its description in RNAcentral is "partial 16S ribosomal RNA". It matches the Rfam family "Bacterial small subunit ribosomal RNA", at positions 29 to 507 of the family's 1533-position model. The record is from RNAcentral.
AGUGAACGCUGGCGGUAGGCCUAACACAUGCAAGUCGAACGGCAGCACAGUAAGUGCUUUCUCUUACGGGUGGCGAGUGUCGGACGGUUUAGUAUUCCUUCGUAUUCUCCUUUUUCUUGGGUGUUACCUUGGGUAAACUUACUCUAUUACCUCUUCCUCCCUCCUGUUUAAUUCUUUGGUUCUUCUUCCCUUUCCCGUUUGAUUUCGCCGAUGUCGGAUUUGCUAGUUGGCGGGGUAAAGGCCCACCAAGGCGACGAUCCGUAGCUGGUCUGAGAGGAUGAUCAGACAAACUGGAACUGAGACACGGAAAAGACUACUACGGGAGGAAGCAGUGGGGAAUAUUGGACAAUGGGCGAAAGCAUGAUACAGACAUACCGAGUGGGUGAAGAAGGACUUCGGGUUGUAAAGACAUUUUGUUGGGAAAGAAAAGAAGCAGGUUAAUACAACGAUGUAAUGACGGUAACAAAAGAAUAAGCACCGGCUAACUUCGUG